CUCCUCUCAGGAUUGCACCUGGAGAGUUUCCAGUACUCUACCAGUCUCGGCUAUGGGACGGAGUGUAGAGCAGACAUACUCAUUCCAUUCCUAGCUUGGGCAGUGGCUUGCGAGAGAAAGACAAUCUGCUACAAGU
Molecule: small nucleolar RNA, 136 nt
Organism: Ornithorhynchus anatinus (platypus)
Lineage: Eukaryota; Metazoa; Chordata; Mammalia; Monotremata; Ornithorhynchidae
Source: RefSeq, a predicted model, not a curated record